AUUGAACGCUGGCGGCAGGCCUAACACAUGCAAGUCGAACGGUAACAGGAAACAGCUUGCUGUUUCGCUGACGAGUGGCGGACGGGUGAGUAAUGUCUGGGAAACUGCCUGAUGGAGGGGGAUAACUACUGGAAACGGUAGCUAAUACCGCAUAACGUCGCAAGACCAAAGAGGGGGACCUUCGGGCCUCUUGCCAUCGGAGGUGCCCAGAUGGGAUUAGCUAGUAGGUGGGGUAACGGCUCACCUAGGCGACGAUCCCUAGCUGGUCUGAGAGGAUGACCAGCCACACUGGAACUGAGACACGGUCCAGACUCCUACGGGAGGCAGCAGUGGGGAAUAUUGCACAAUGGGCGAAAGCCUGAUGCAGCCAUGCCGCGUGUAUGAAGAAGGCCUUCGGGUUGUAAAGUACUUUCAGCGGGGAGGAAGGGAGUAAAGUUAAUACCUUUGCUCAUUGACGUUACCCGCAGAAGAAGCACCGGCUAACUCCGUGCCAGCAGCCGCCGUAA
RNAcentral lists this ribosomal RNA (506 nucleotides) under uncultured bacterium. RNAcentral describes it as "partial 16S ribosomal RNA". It matches the Rfam family "Bacterial small subunit ribosomal RNA", at positions 30 to 523 of the family's 1533-position model. The record is from RNAcentral.